CCUACGGGAGGCAGCAGUGAGGAAUAUUGGUCAAUGGUCGGGAGACUGAACCAGCCAAGCCGCGUGAGGGAGGAAGGUACAGAGUAUCGUAAACCUCUUUUGUCAGGGAACAAAGGCGGGGACGUGUCCCCGGAUGAGUGUACCUGAAGAAAAAGCAUCGGCUCACUCCGUGCCAGCAGCCGCGGUAAUUCGGAGGAUGCGAGCGUUAUCCGGAUUUUUUGGGUUUAAAGGGUGCGCAGGCGGUCUGUUAAGUCAGCGGUCAAAGCCCGGGGCUCAACCCCGGCCCGACGUUGAAACUGGGAGUCUCGAGUGGGAGAGAGGUAGGCGGAAUGCGCGGUGUAGCGGUGAAAUGCAUAGAUAUCGCGCAGAACACCGAUUGCGAAGGCAGCAUGCCGGAUCCACACUGACGCUGAGGCACGAAAGCGUGGGUAGCGAACAGGAUUAGAUACCCUGGUAGUC
This 459-nucleotide ribosomal RNA is filed under the name uncultured bacterium. RNAcentral's name for it is "partial 16S ribosomal RNA". It matches the Rfam family "Bacterial small subunit ribosomal RNA", at positions 338 to 795 of the family's 1533-position model. The record is from RNAcentral.